This 1345-nucleotide long non-coding RNA is filed under the name Helianthus annuus (common sunflower). Its description in RNAcentral is "hypothetical non coding rna". Lineage: Eukaryota; Viridiplantae; Streptophyta; Magnoliopsida; Asterales; Asteraceae. The record is from RNAcentral.
UUUUCUAUUUCAAAAUAAAGCUUCAAAACCUCAUGAAAUCAUUUGUUAUUAUAACAUCAAAGAGUAGAAAAAAAAAUAACAAAGAAGUCGUUCGGCGCCAAGAUAGCAAAAAAAAAAACUGAAGAUAAUAAACCGCCGGUAAACCUUUCCGACCCACCGGAUCUCUAAAAAAAAACCGUCACUGAUUCGCUGGAAACGGUUACAGAAACCGCUGCCGGUUAAGCAGCCCGAGCGUCGUCGCUGCCGGUGAUGAUGAUGAUGAGGAUGAUUGUAGCGCUGGUUAACCGGAUUAUGAGUGGCCGAUGAUUGUAUGUGUUGUGAUCAGUGGAUUGUUCCACUCCUACACUUUGCAAGUUAGAACAAUGUUUUGAUAUGAUUUCCGGUAAACCUCGGCGGAGAGUCUCGUGCUGAUAACGUGAUAUGAAACCACUGGUGAAAUCUGUAUUGAAUCUUCAAUCUAUAUGUUACAUAUCAUACAAAUGUGAUUCAACUAAAUAACAACAUACAAUAGUAUAUAUAACGUACGUGUGUUAAUUGUCAAAACAUUUAUGAGAGGUUAACUGCCAAGGCAGUUACAACAGUUAUGAGAGGUUAAAUGCCAAGGCAGUUACAAGGGGUGUUUUGUAUAUCUGUUUUAUGACAAAAUUUAAUUUUUGAAAGUUAUUAUCAUUACUAGUAACAUUUAAUAUGAGAGAGAGAGAGACAUUCAACAUGAGAGAGAUAUUUAAUUGGAUGAGAUCAUAACAAUAUGAUACAUGACAGAGUGGCAUAGGAACUUGACAAGUGGUAAAAAUUAUUUUGAUUUAUUAGGUAGUAAGAUAGGAAGUGGGAUGGGAUAAUUCAUAAAACAAAUAUAUUAUGUAAACUCUUGGAGAUAUCUAAUAUGAUUAUAUAUGUAUGUACUUACGUAUGAUGCAUGGAUGUAUGUACAUACAUAUGUAUGUAUCUAUAGGGAGAGGAUCGUGAGAAAACUCUAUCAAACGAUCAAGAUUUGCGUUGAAUAUUUUUGAGGGUUUAGUUUUUAGAAUUUAUGAUUUAAUUUUUAGAGGUUAGAGAUUAACUUUUAGGUUUAGAUUUAACAUUUAGAUUUUAGCUUUUAGGCAUUACCCUUCGGGGUUUAUCUUUUAGGGUUUACUCUUUUUUGUUUAUUUCUUAGCGUUUAGGGAUUAGGGUUUAGAGCUUUCACAUCCCUUCUACCAAAUUGUGUGAGUGGGUUUUUAUAUUAUAAAAAGUAUAAAAAAAGAGGUUGUGAGUGGAGAAGAGAGAAAAUGUUAUUGUCCAUCUAUAUAUUUGACAGGACAUUGUUCACCCUCUAUAAUAUUUUAAUAUAUUUUGAAAGAGGUUG